Neofelis nebulosa (Clouded leopard) is the source of this 1842-nucleotide long non-coding RNA. RefSeq lists it as uncharacterized. The transcript has 4 exons. Lineage: Eukaryota; Metazoa; Chordata; Mammalia; Carnivora; Felidae. The record is from RefSeq and is a predicted model, not a curated record.
GGCCACCCCCGCGCGGCCAGCUCACCUUCUCGCCUUUCUCUCCCGGGAGACCGGCCACCCCCCGGUCGCCCUGCAAAUUGAGCACAGCGAGUCAGAGCGGCGACGGACCCCCACCCGCCGCCGCCGCCGCCGCCCGGAACGCGGGGGGAGGGGAGACGCUGGUACUCACCACGCCGCCGCGGGGUCCGGUCUUCCCUGGGGAGCCCUGCAGCAAGCGGGCAGUCAGGACUUGGACCGCCUGGGACCCGCCGGACGUAUUUUUCCGCGAAGAUCUGGAGCGCUGAGGAAGGACCUAACUGAGCUCCAGCCCCCCCAGGUCCUGAAGCCUCUUGCCCAGGUGAAAGAACUAAGGCACAGAAAGAGGGCCUCUCCCAAGGUCACAGAGCCAACCCGCCAGCAACAGAGCUCAAUCCAGAAUCUCAGGCUCCUCGUCCUCUGAAGCUUGGACACAGUUGACCCUGCUCUCUGUCUGGGGCACAUUGUCCACCUCCAAGCCUGGACCUCCACAUGAUGCUCCCUGACAACCUGCUGUCCUGCAGCUGUCACAGAUGGAGACGUCACAUCCCUCAGGGUCAGAAUGUGGGAUCAGCAGCCACAUUAUUUCUUUGAGUGCUUCUCCAGAAAUGUGCUUGUAGGAGACUCUACUCCCUCAGGCGCCAACUGGUUCUAUCACCCCUCCUCUUUUCUCUGGGUCCUUUCCCUCACUCACUAAUGAUUUGGGCACCUGGGUCACAUCUUCCCCUCCUCUCAGGGUCCUGCCAUCUGGGGCGCCUCACCAUCUUCUUGGAUGACCCUUUCAACAUCCCAGAUCCCAUUGCCUUAACCACCUCAUUUCUAGUGAUCAUCUCCUCAAUUCCACUUCAGCCAUAUUCUCAAGGCCAUACCUGGGGCGUUGGCUUCAUUCAGAGUGCCUCAGCUCCGAAAUAUUUAAACCAAUCAACCCUGGGAUCCCUGAGCCACCGUGCAGGAAGUCUGACCAUCCUGCUGGGGAGACUACACGGAGAGAGAUGCCCAGCCGAGCCCAGCCUUCCAGCGGUCCACACCAAAGCACCAGGCAUUUUGAACCUUCCAGACCUGCCUGAUCAUCUGCUAAACGCCACUGAGGGCCUGAGGAAACUCCACAUGGAACAGAAGAAUUGCCCAGCUAAGCCUCAAUUGCAGUUGCGAGUUUUUUAAAAAAGAUUUUAAGAUCUUUUUUUAAUUUUGAAAUAAUCAUAAAUUCACAAGGAGCUUCAAAAAUAGUAUAGAAAAGUCCCAUGUUCCCUGUAUCCAAUGUAUCUCAAUCAUAGUGUCUUGCAUAGCUAUAGAACAAUAACAAAACCAGGAAAUUUGCAGUAUAAUUCAAGCACAUUGUAAUUUUCAGCAAACCUGUACUGGAUGGGUUUUGGUAGUAGUUUUGUUAGUUAUAUGUUAUAAAUAUAUAAUUUCUAAGUGAUUGUGAAUGGUAUUUUAUUUUAUUUUUAAAGUUUAUUAUUUAUUUUGAGUGAGAGAGAGAGAGCACACAUGCAAGUGGGGGUGGGGCAGAGAGAGAGAGAGAAUCCCAAGGAGGCUCCCCACCAUCAGUGGGGAGCCUGAUGCAGGGCUUGAACCCACAAACUGCGGGACCAUGACCUGAGAUCAAGUCUGAUGCCUAACCAACUGAGCCACCCAGGCACCCUCUUAUUGUAUUUUAAAUUUCUCCUCCACGUGUUCACUGCUAUCAUAUGUAAAUACAAUUGAUCUUUGUAUAUUUAUAUCCCAAUACCUUGUUGAACUCAAUUCUAGCAGGUUUUGUUUGGGGGUAGAUUUAAACAUUUUUCCAUGUGAACAGCCAUCUGCAAAUAGAGACAGUUUUCUAUUUUC